Molecule: microRNA precursor, 85 nt
Organism: Saimiri boliviensis boliviensis (Bolivian squirrel monkey)
Lineage: Eukaryota; Metazoa; Chordata; Mammalia; Primates; Cebidae
Source: Ensembl
UUAGGUUGGUGCAAACGUAAUUGUGGUUUUUGCCAUUGAAAGUAAUAGCAGAAACAACAAUUACUUUUGCACCAAACUAUUAAAA